GCGGAGUGAACCGCCCCUGCUUUAUGUGCAAUUGUGCAUGUCAGAAUUGCAAUGGGCCAUAUGUAUUGUAAAACACACAUUAUGUAUUGUACACACAUGAAGUGGGAAUUCGUAACUGGUGUCGAUUUUAAUUAAACAUCGCAGUUUUAAUUUAUCGACACUAGUUUUGAAUUUUGUCUUUUUCGCACUUGUAUCGUAAUUUACUAUUAGUUAAGUUAGUGUUAGCGCUCUUUAUCAAUAGAGCAUUAAACUUGUAAAGAAUUAUGAAAAAUUGAAGGCUAUCACUGUAAAAUUGUUCAAAUUAGGUGGGAAAUACAUUCCCUGCCGUACAAAGACGACACAGGACACAGGAAAAAAACACUAAAAGUAUCCUUUUAUUAAUUUUAAUAUUUGGUAGCAGGAUUAUCGUCCUCAUAUUACUGCUUUUAACCUGCUUACCAAAGGUACCAGUUAAACCAGGCCCGAAUUGGUCUGGUUGUCUUAUGUGAGCCUGGACUCAGCUUGUUCUGGGAAGCUAACGCGAGGCAUAGCAUCGCCACUGUCCAUAGCAGGAAAAAUAUAAUUUUAUUCAUAGUUUUUUUUGGAAUUUGUUUCACUUAAAACGUACCUAGGUGACAAAGUAAGGACGGCCGCACUAAAUGUGGCUUAACUGACUGGAUUCUGUAACGAAGAUCUGUGAAAUUGAUUUAUUUUCAAUUAAUAUCUAGUAAUGACUUAUCGCUGCAAUAAACAACAAUCAAGUGUCCGACCACGCCACACAGACCUAUUAAAUUCCAAAAUAUUCAUGCGGUAUUGAUGUGAUCUUUGCCUAUGUGUCGUGAUUUUUUUUGUCAACGACAACAUUUCUAAAGGUCAGAGACUUUUAUUAUAGUGUCACGUCGGUUUUGUCCAAGGUGCAAGAUAUCUAGAGGUAAUACUGCAAGAGGUACCACCUGAUUAAUGAUGCGGAUGCGGCUAACAACCAACUAGGCCACGCCACAUCUGGACUAAGGUCUGAUCGAGCCCGCGAACUUCGAAGUCAACGUGUGGGUAUGCUUUGUACUAAUGUGUAGGUAAGGUAAGGAAUGCAUAGACGCUCGGAGCGGUGCGCUGGGGCGGGCGAGCGGGCGUCCACCGGCACU
This is a long non-coding RNA of Leguminivora glycinivorella, 1121 nucleotides long. RefSeq lists it as uncharacterized. The record is from RefSeq and is a predicted model, not a curated record. NCBI's taxonomy places the organism in Eukaryota, Metazoa, Arthropoda, Insecta, Lepidoptera, Tortricidae. The transcript has 4 exons.